GCAUACAGACUUCCCAGAGUCAUCUCCAAGUUGUCAUGGGCAACCUCUUCUCUGCUACCAGAGAGGAAUAAACCAAGACCACCAGCAAAGUCAUUAUGUAAUAUGCUGUGGAUAUGAGCAUUGUCCUCAGGAAUUACCUAUAAAGGAAACUGGAAACUCCAUGGAAUCUCUCUGUCAUCUUUACCUCCAGAUGGUGCCUCCAAAUCUCUUCUGAAAGGGCUUGUGCAGAGCAGAGUUGUUACAUUAAAUCACCACAGAGUGCAUAUCAUUCAGCCUUGUGAUGGCAAUGCUCAGGCAACAGGGGGCAAACAGAACACAAAACCAUGACGGACUUGCAAGCAAGGCUGAAGAUAGAUGCCCAGAGAUGUAUGUAUCUAAGAGCCAAAGAGAGGAAAAUGGCAUAAGCAAAUGAAAAAAAGUUUAAGCUGUUCCUCUUAAAUUGUUUGACUUGUACUGAGUGACUUGAUAUGGAAUUUUACAAAACAUUCUUUAAAAAGAAUAUAAGAAAAAUCAUUGAUGCUUAGUAAGGUGGUUCAAAAUAGUCAUGAGACUAAGACUGUAUACAGAAGAAGCAGGAAGCACUUAACCCUGAAAAGACAUAUUACUUAUCCAAAUUCAUGUUCAAAUAUUUGUGUCAUAAAGAUCUUAUGAUUUCUGAGAGGCUACAUUUAAUCUUUUACUUCCAGGAAAGUUUUUGGUCAGCUGAUUUUGCUUUAAUUUAAAUAGGAGAUAAUUUCUGGGAAGAUUAAAAAAAUAAAUAAAAUAAAAUA
Long non-coding RNA from Cygnus atratus (black swan), 770 nucleotides. RefSeq lists it as uncharacterized. The record is from RefSeq and is a predicted model, not a curated record. NCBI's taxonomy places the organism in Eukaryota, Metazoa, Chordata, Aves, Anseriformes, Anatidae. The transcript has 3 exons.